UACCCGCCCGGGUACUACGAGCAUAGCUUAAAACCCAAAGGACUUGGCGGUGUCUCAGACCCACCUAGAGGAGCCUGUUCUAGAACCGAUAAUCCCCGUUAAACCUCACCACUUCUUGUUAAUCCCGCCUAUAUACCGCCGUCGCCAGCUUACCCCAUGAGGGUCAAACAGUAAGCAAAAUGGACAAACCCCAAAUCGUCAGGUCGAGGUGUAGCGCACGAAGUGGGAGAAAUGGGCUACAUUUUCUAUACAGAAAUAACGAAUGGUCUACUGAACACAUACCUGAAGGAGGAUUUAGCAGUAAAAGCAAUAGAG
This 315-nucleotide ribosomal RNA is filed under the name Hoplisoma paleatum (peppered corydoras). Its description in RNAcentral is "partial 12S ribosomal RNA". It matches the Rfam family "Bacterial small subunit ribosomal RNA", at positions 866 to 1352 of the family's 1533-position model. The record is from RNAcentral. Lineage: Eukaryota; Metazoa; Chordata; Actinopteri; Siluriformes; Callichthyidae.